GAUGAAGAACGCAGCGAAAUGCGAUAAUUAAUGUGAAUUGCAGAAUUUAGUGAAUCAUCGAAUCUUUGAACGCACAUUGCGCCCCUUGGUAUUCCGGGGGGCAUGCCUGUUCGAGCGUCAUUUCAACCCUCAAGCUCUGCUUGGUCUUGGGCCGCGCCGGCAACGGCGGGCCUCAAAAACAGUGGCGGCGCCAUCUGGUCCCUCAGCGUAGUAAUUCUUCUCGCUCUGGAGGUCCGGUCGUGUGCUCGCCAGCAACCCCCAAUUUUUUUCAGGUUGACCUCGGAUCAGGUAGGGAUACCCGCUGAACUUAAGCAUAUCAAUAAGCGGAGGA
RNAcentral lists this unclassified non-coding RNA (331 nucleotides) under soil metagenome. RNAcentral describes it as "partial contains 5.8S ribosomal RNA, internal transcribed spacer 2, and large subunit ribosomal RNA". The stretch from base 1 to 120 matches the Rfam family "5.8S ribosomal RNA", at positions 35 to 154 of the family's 154-position model. The record is from RNAcentral.